This is a long non-coding RNA of Sinocyclocheilus rhinocerous, 2117 nucleotides long. RefSeq lists it as uncharacterized. The transcript is spliced from 2 exons. The record is from RefSeq and is a predicted model, not a curated record. Lineage: Eukaryota; Metazoa; Chordata; Actinopteri; Cypriniformes; Cyprinidae.
UGGAACGACAUAAGGACAGAAUUUUCAUUUUUGGGUGAACUACCCCUUUAAUGACAAUUUAAGUUACUGAAUGCAACAAUCAGAUCACUCACAGAUACCCAAACAAGCUCCUCGUAAAAUUCUUUAUUCAUAAACUUGAUGCAAGUUUACAAAUAUACUGUACAUGGUCAAAAUUCUCUUGUAAUGGAAAAACCUAACAAAAAAACCAAGAAAGCAUGCCAACAGUGUGAGCUUCGAGAACCAUUCCAUGAGAUGGCACCAGAGACGGGUUCUGUUAUUGGUUACGGUGAGGUUCACGUUCAGUGUGAAAAACAAAAACAAACAAGUCAUUACUGUUCGGAUAAGGAAACAGAAGAAAGACUCAUCAGUUACAGAAACCUUGGUCAAUGCGGACAAGCCCAGGUCAAAAACUCAAACGCGGAUGUACUUCUUGAGAUGAAUAAACCUCUGAGGAAACACCAUCUAGAAAGGUCUGCUUUUUCAAAUCUCACCAAUGAAAACCCAAGACCAAGCACAUCUCUGAAACAAGACAGCAGCAAUAACUUGCAAAGCAGAUACUGGAGUUAUUCAAGACAUUCCUGCUGCAGUGGCUCUCUUGAAUUACAUUUACAUGUGACUGGAGUAAAAGAUUACAUUUGCGUCCAUAUUAAAGAUAUACAUAUCCAAGAGCUUGCCUGUUAUGGGACGAAGUUCAAACUCAGGACUGAUCCAAGAGGCACAAUCACAACAUUCUGUGCAAAUACUAAACCCAAAUGUCCCAAAAUAUUUACAACUGAAAUUUGAAGUCGGAAGGGUGAGAAACAACAACAAAAACAUAAGUUCCGUUUGACUGAGCACUUAAAUUCAGGAAACAAAGGAAAUCAUAUACAUUUUUAUAGCCAGAGUUAUCUAAUCCCCAUUGGCCUUUAACACUUCUUACGAUGAAACCAAGCCCCAUCAUAAAAUUCUAAAUAGCGACCACGGGAAGCUGUUAAAAUCCUUUUCUUUGCUUUCAGGAACUAGAGAAGGUUCUUAAAGUGGACAGGUAGAGCAAAUGGCCCAAAAAAGGUUUUCCAAACAGAAUGGAUUUUCCUGAGUUCUCAAUGAAAAAUGCGAGACGCCUUCACAUGCAUGAGUUUUUGGGAACUUUGGGAACAUUUGGGAACUUGAACUUGAACAUGCACGAGUCUUCGACAGCCACUUUUUGUAAUACACUGUGAAACAAAGACAAAAAAGCAGGGAGGUAUGGUGUAUUUUGACAAGCUCUCUUUCGCCAUGAACGUUGAAGCAUUGACCAUUCUUAAAAUUUUAUACUGGACGUUCAGAUCCAAGAGGUAAAAUAAACAACGCCUCGAGUUUUGUGAGAAUUGUCCAUCAGGCUUGGAAAGAAACAGUGCUCUUGUAGUGUUGUGCUAUGAGAAAAGUAUUAUUUGCGCUCUUUUAAUCCAUCAAUGCUCACAAAAUGAAACUGACAGCAAACUCUAAGUUCAAGUACUGCUGAUCAUGAGAGGUCCAUUAGUAAUGUAAACCUCAAAUGUCUCAAUCUGUAACAGCUGUUUUUUAAUGGAGCAGAAAUUAUGAAAAUGACAAUUAAGGGUGGGAACAAAAACGAAAAAAAAAAAACCGAAAAAAAAAGUUAUGUUCAUAUCACUUAUAUAAAUACAAUUUUUAAGAUAUUACCCCCGUUAUUUUGAGAAACAUCAACCUUUUUCCCCAUUUCGAGUCCACAAGUCCUCAAGUGAAAACAACUCGGAUAAUUCCCCCACUUCACAUAAACACCACAUUUAAGACGCCUCAAAUCCAUUUACAAGUAUACAAGUGGAGCUCUGUUCAACUAUGGAGCGGCGGCAAGUUCCGCUUCGCUUUUUCAAAGCCAAAGCUCGCAUUUGUCCAUUAUUGGUCAGAUCAGCCACAUGCUAAAAGUGAGCGUAAGGAAACUGAGUGGAAUUCAUCCUUAGUUGGAAAAACGAGAUUUGGGGCUAGUCGUAUAUACGCACCCCUUCCUCUCGUCCUUGCCGUUAUCAUUAACAUAAGGGUUGCUUAGGAAGCUUACGUAUAUAAUUGUGGCAAGUAACGAUUCUUUGACGACAUCAGCAUUAAAUGUACCAGUACAUGUUAAUUCAGAAUGCAUGAGGGGG